Molecule: small nuclear RNA, 94 nt
Filed under: Colobus angolensis palliatus
Lineage: Eukaryota; Metazoa; Chordata; Mammalia; Primates; Cercopithecidae
Source: RNAcentral
GUGCUUGCUUAAGUAGCACACACUAAAAUUGGAAUGAUUAGCAUGGCCCCUGCACAAGGAUGACAUACACAUUAGUAAAGUGAUCUGUAUUUUU